GCCUGGGUGGCUCAGUCGGUUGAGCAUCCGACUUCGGCUCAGGUCAUGAUCUCACAGUCUGUGGGUUCGAGCCCCACGUCAGGCU
This 85-nucleotide transfer RNA is filed under the name Felis catus (domestic cat). It matches the Rfam family "tRNA". Rfam says of the family: Transfer RNA (tRNA) molecules are approximately 80 nucleotides in length. Their secondary structure includes four short double-helical elements and three loops (D, anti-codon, and T loops). The record is from Rfam by way of RNAcentral. Lineage: Eukaryota; Metazoa; Chordata; Mammalia; Carnivora; Felidae.